Long non-coding RNA from Motacilla alba alba, 3643 nucleotides. RefSeq lists it as uncharacterized. NCBI's taxonomy places the organism in Eukaryota, Metazoa, Chordata, Aves, Passeriformes, Motacillidae. The transcript has 2 exons. The record is from RefSeq and is a predicted model, not a curated record.
CCGGGCCGGGCGCUGCCUCGCCCCGGCGGGUGACCCCUGCUGUCUCCGCUCCCCGCGCCCCGGGAGCCGCCGGGGUCGCGUCCUUUCCCCUCCGGGACUCGUCUGCGCUUCCCGCUCCGCGGCGGCCCCUCCGCAGGAGCGCCCCGCACCCGAGGGGAGGGGAAGGCCUGGCGGCCGCCGCUCCCGCAGCCCGCCCUUCCCCGCGGGACUGCCCGGGGCUGCGCUGCCUUUGUCGGCGCCCCACGGAGGCGUUCUGGGGAGGGGGAACAGAGACCCCUGAAAUGUAGCGUUGAUUGCCAGUCACGGUCCUGCCUGGUAACGCGAUGUGCUAAACUCGGCUCACAGGGCGCAUUUAUCUGGCCCCUGGAAAUGCCUAGAAAAAUAGAUGACUCCAAAUUAUUCAAGUGCAAUUAAGGCCACAAAAGAAAAGACAUCUGAAUUGGCUCUGUAUAAGGCAGAUGCGGUUCAGUUAGGCUUAGCAGCAGAGAUGUGCACGGUCUGAGCAGAAUUACUGCAAUUUCAGAUGAAGGUCCAAGCGUGUCGAAAGGCUCUCGUCUGAUCCUGUUUGGGUGCCACAAGGAGCGCCGCUGAAGCUGAGCUAGUAAAUAUUGAUGGACUCAAGCUUCAUGUCCUGAAAUCGGGUCUGUCAGUGCUGGGCUUCCCAUUCUGUCGCAGUACACCAGACAUUUUCUACUCUGGGCACUGUGAUUCCCCUAUUACUAUUUGGAAACUGGAUAGUGGAUUGCAUAGUCACUGUAUUUUCUAGCAGCUUGCAGAAGUAAUCAAGCUUUGAUGCAGAAUACGAUGUCAAAAAGUACACACUCCUGUUACUGGAAAAGCACUGUUCUCUCUGAGAUAAGUUUCAAGCACACUUUCACAAUUUAUUGUUUCCAUUAGAAAAGUAUCUAGUAAUCUGAAAAUCGAUCUAAAAACCAUUGUUCUAGAUACUGUGCUUGACACAUAAUAAAAAGAAAGCUCAUGCCCUGCAGAGCUUGUAUCAAGAGCAGAUUAAACACGUUCUAAGGAUACCUGUAGAGAGAGUUGUGCAGGUUUUCUCAGGUCUCACAAGCGUGUUGCACCAGCACAAACAAACCUGCCAGAGCACUUUUCCAAAAACCAGCACGCAAACAGACAGGUCCAAACAAAAAGGCUGAAGCUUUAACCUACCUCGAAACUCUUCCCUUGCUUCUAACAAGCCCUCCUGACUCUGAAUGACCUCUCCGUUCUGCAGGGAGGCGAGGGCCGCCGCUCACGGAAAGCCAGCAUCUCUCCCGAGCGAGCCGGGGGCAGAGCAGCACGCACAAAGGUGAUGGGUUCCUCCACAGGCAGCCACACGCACGCACCGUGCGCCGCCUCUCCGGCCUACCUGUCUCGUCUUGUUUCAGCCGUUCCUAACGAGCAGGCAGGCUACUGGAGCAUGCAGAAAUCUUGCUUUUUGAAGCACCCUGAAAACAGGCUUGGAUUUUUUUGGUACCUAGGUGGCCCAGAAGAACUUGGCAGGAAGCAAGCUCCAAAUAGGUAGUAAAAUCGGCACAGCUAUGGGGGAACCUUAGUUUCAUGCUCCCUGGGCUUCCCAGUGACCUACAAGAACCAAGAAACACCAGAAGAGGAGACUGAAACUGCCUGUCUCUUGCUCAUUCUUCAGUGCCAGAUCACAUCAGGCUGAAAGAUACCUGAGGACUGUUUGUUUGCAGACUGCUGGAAGAGAGACGGAAUCACCUAUUGUGUAAAAAACUCAAAAGAACAUGAAAAGGUCUUCUUGUGAUCCUCAAAAUCAUCAGCAAAGUCGGUAACAGUAAUUUUUUUAGCUUCGCAAGGAUAUAUACUUAAAUACAUCCAGAUAUCACCAUAUAUUUUUGAUAUACUGGAGGGUUUAUUAGUUCUCAGCAGCCACAGAAAGUAGAUUAGUGGUGUCAGUUGCUAUUGUUGUUCUGGGUCUCCUGUUGUCACCAUAUCUACAAGUUCGCCUGACUUUUAAUCAUGCAGAUUGCUUUCUGGUUUUUUCCAUGGCUUUUGAGCUCACCCUAGUCUGUUUUCCUGGAUGUAUGCUUUUUCUGUGUAACUGAAACUUUCCUGGAGUGUUUGCAAGGAAGGCUCUGUCACUGUGCUCCCUCUGACAAUGUCUCAAGAGCAUACUGAGAAAAGCAGAGAUCUCUGCGAGUUUUGCUUCCCUAUUGCAUCAUAUUCUUCAUGAUUUUUAAAUUUAAUCCUCCUGAAGAUACACUAGACUCAAGAAAGCUGCAAGUCCUUUUCUCAUACUGGGAUGUUUUCUUGCUCAUCUCUCCCUGAGCUUAGAGGAUGAGUAGUGUCAUGGCAGAAAGCAAACUGAUAAGUAAUCAACUUUUAAAAAUGUCUGUCUUUCUAGGGGAUGCAAAUUGUUUCCUUGUAGUAUCUGACAGAGUAACACAAGUAACUUGCCAUGGCAACCAGCUUAUGGAACAUUAAAAAAUAUAUCAUUACAAGGUGCUUUGUUACGAUAACAGGGAAAGAAGCUGAGACCUUAUCAGUUUUGUGCACUUGUGUGUCAUGCAUCAUCUAGGUAGCAGAACCUGUCAGUAGAAGUUUGUGUUCAAUUCAGUGCAAGUCAUCUGCCUCGUGGGCCUAUCUGAUACUUGGAUCAAAGCUGAAGUGCAGUCAGAAGGAAAGAAGGAAGUGUUCAGAAGAAUUGAAACAAGGCUGGAUUCUCAGAAACACAAAGACAAAUCCAUUUCCUCCAAGCUGAUGCAACUCUGAAGAUAGCAGUAAAGGAUGAACCGCUUCUGAAAUUAAUUUGGUUUGCAUUCUCUGACAGUCUCCAUUAUUUUACUGUCCUCCUUUAUUCUUUUUUAAGUGAAGUAAGUCUGCAGAUCUGUAAGUAUUUUGGAUUUACUUGGGACAAAGGAUGGAAUAGGCUUGCAAGGUCUGUCUUCAAACCCAUUCUCUUUACAGGGAUGCUUCUGGGAAGGACAGACUCAUUUCCACUCAGCUUGCUUGGGUAAGUGAGUGAAUUUAUAAAUGACAAAGGGAAUCAGCUGAGGGCAGAGAGGGGAAACUGUCAUAGUUACCACUUUGAGAGGAAGGAAAAGCUGAGUUUAUUAGCUCUGAGGAGGACAGUUUUGAAACUGUUGUCUGUGCACAGAGGCCAGCAGAAAACUGCCCUGUGCUGAGGAUAGGCUCAUUUGUACAUCUGGAGUGGGGCUAGGGUAUGCUUUACUCUGGAGCUGGAAAGGAUGUCUUCUGUGGGUCAGAUUUGGAAAGUGAAGGACAAGCUGAAAGUUUCUUAAUCCCUUGAUUACUGACUUGAGCCACAAGUAACACAGCUCCAACUGUGUGAUGGACUGAAGUGUAUGCUCCCCCUUCUAUUUUAAAAACACUCUCUCCCAGUUAAAAUUUAUGCUGUUCAUGCACUAGUACUAAUGCUUGAGAAACAGUGGCCAGCUUUCUGAGCUGCCUGGGGCCUAGCUGAAUUCACAGGUAAAGUUCUCGUGACUCAUGGACAAUUCUCUUGUAGCUUCCUGGUGAGGUUGUAGAGAAAAUACUGCUAGAUUACAAACCCUGACAAUUAGAAAACCCUGACUUGGAAAGAAACCUUUGAAAAUAAACUCUUAAUGUAUCAGAAAAAUCUAUGUGAGAUGCAAAGCUAGAGUUCACUCUUGACAAUGAA